This 373-nucleotide long non-coding RNA is filed under the name Piliocolobus tephrosceles (Ugandan red Colobus). Its description in RNAcentral is "lncRNA (ENSPTEG00000022050.1)". Lineage: Eukaryota; Metazoa; Chordata; Mammalia; Primates; Cercopithecidae. The record is from RNAcentral.
AUGAAUGAAACUGAUAUGCAGUUGAUAGUUGAACCACUUUCUUUAACAGAAAUGUUAAAUGCGAGAACUCCUAAAACAAAGAAUAAAUCUGAUGUUAAAAAGAACGUAGAAAAGACGGAGGGACAAAAAGCGGUUAUACAACGGGUUUUUGCUUUUGAUAGGUGUUUCGAUGAUAUAGUUGGAAAUGAAGAAGUGUACAAUCAUUUAGCAAGAGACAUAAUUAUUGAUACAUUUAAAGGUAUUAAUGGGUGCAUUCUCGCUUAUGGUCAAACGGGAUCUGGAAAAACACAUACUGUUAUGGGUAUUCCGUCUGAUCCAGGUAUGUUACCUAGAUCGCUAGCAGAAUUUUUUAAUGGCAUUGAAAACCCUUCCU